This 253-nucleotide ribosomal RNA is filed under the name uncultured bacterium. RNAcentral's name for it is "partial 16S ribosomal RNA". It matches the Rfam family "Bacterial small subunit ribosomal RNA", at positions 524 to 776 of the family's 1533-position model. The record is from RNAcentral.
UACGUAGGGUGCAAGCGUUGUCCGGAAUUAUUGGGCGUAAAGAGCUCGUAGGCGGUUUGUUGCGUCGGCUGUGAAAUCCCGAGGCUCAACCUCGGGUCUGCAGUCGAUACGAGCAAACUAGAGUGUUGCAGGGGAGACUGGAAUUCCUGGUGUAGCGGUGAAAUGCGCAGAUAUCAGGAGGAACACCGGUGGCGAAGGCGACGUGCUGGGCUGAACCUGACGCUGAGAUGCGAAAGUGUGGGGAUCAAACAGG